AAUCGGAAUUACUGGGCGUAAAGCGUGCGCAGGCGGCUUUGCAAGACAGAGGUGAAAUCCCCGGGCUCAACCUGGGAACUGCCUUUGUGACUGCAAGGCUAGAGUACGGCAGAGGGGGAUGGAAUUCCGCGUGUAGCAGUGAAAUGCGUAGAUAUGCGGAGGAACACCGAUGGCGAAGGCAAUCCCCUGGGCCUGUACUGACGCUCAUGCACGAAAGCGUGGGGAGCAAACAGGAUUAGAUACCCUGGUAGUCAAGGGCG
Molecule: ribosomal RNA, 260 nt
Filed under: uncultured Burkholderiales bacterium
Lineage: Bacteria; Pseudomonadati; Pseudomonadota; Betaproteobacteria; Burkholderiales
Description: partial 16S ribosomal RNA
Rfam family: Bacterial small subunit ribosomal RNA
Source: RNAcentral